CUUCUUCGAUCUGCUGCGGGCAGAUGAAAUGGAUGUGGCUGUCGAUGCCGCCGGCCGUGACGAUCAUGCCUUCGCCGGCGAUGACCUCGGUGCCGGGGCCGACGAUGAUGCUGUUUUUGCCACUGAGGCCGGGCUGGAUGUCCGGGUUGCCGGCCUUGCCGAUGGCGGCGAUGCGGCCGUCCUUCAGGCCGAUGUCGGCCUUGACGAUGCCGGUGACGGCGUCGACGAUCAGCGCGUUGGUAAUGACCGUAUCGGCAGUUUCGGCGGAGACGCGCUGGCUUUGCCCCAUGCCGUCGCGGAUG
Molecule: small RNA, 302 nt
Filed under: Azonexus hydrophilus
Lineage: Bacteria; Pseudomonadati; Pseudomonadota; Betaproteobacteria; Rhodocyclales; Azonexaceae
Description: 5' ureB small RNA
Rfam family: 5' ureB small RNA
Source: Rfam by way of RNAcentral